RNAcentral lists this non-coding RNA (117 nucleotides) under Gorilla gorilla gorilla (western lowland gorilla). Lineage: Eukaryota; Metazoa; Chordata; Mammalia; Primates; Hominidae. The record is from Rfam by way of RNAcentral.
GCCGGGCAGGGUGGCUCAUGCCUGUAAUCCCAGCACUUCGGGAGGCUGAGGCGGGUGGAUCACCUGAGGUCAGGAGUUCAAGACCAGCCUGACCAACAUGGAGAAACCCCGUCUCUA